AAAGUUUGAUCCUGGCUCAGAGUGAACGCUGGCGGCGUGCUUAACAYAUGCAAGUCGAACGAWGAAGUCCUUCGGGAUGGAUUAGUGGCGCACGGGUGAGUAAUAUACAGUUAAUGUACCUUCAAGACUGGGAUAGCCACUGGAAACGGUGAUUAAUACUAGAUAUACCUCUUUAACAUAAGUUAGAGUGGGAAAUGUUUUUUCKYUUGWAGAUCAGACUAUAUCCCAUCAGUUUGUUGGCGAGGUAAUGGCUCACCAAGGCAAUGACGGGUAGCGGGUUUGAGAGGAUGAUCCGCCACACUGGUACUGAGACACGGACCAGACUCCUACGGGAGGCAGCAGUGAGGAAUAUUGCACAAUGGGGGAAACCCUGAUGCAGCAACGCCGCGUGGAGGAUGACGCAUUUCGGUGUGUAAACUCCUUUUAUGAGUCAAGAAAAUGACGGUAGCUCAUGAAUAAGCACCGGCUAACUCCGUGCCWRCAGYCGCGGUAAUACGGAGGGUGCAAGCGUUACUCGGAAUCWCUGGGCGUAAAGGACGCGUAGGCGGGUUGGUAAGUCAGAUGUGAAAUCYUACAGCUCAACUGUARAACUGCAUUUGAAACUACCGACCUAKAGUAUGGGAGGGGGGAGAUGGAA
Molecule: ribosomal RNA, 637 nt
Filed under: uncultured bacterium
Lineage: Bacteria
Description: bacterial SSU rRNA
Rfam family: Bacterial small subunit ribosomal RNA
Source: RNAcentral